GAUAAACGCUGGCGGCGCACAUAAGACAUGCAAGUCGAACGGACUUAACUCGAAGUUUACUUUGAGAGCGGUUAGUGGCGGACUGGUGAGUAACACGUGAGCAACCUGCCUAUCAGAGGGGAAUAACAGUGAGAAAUCAUUGCUAAUACCGCAUAUGCUUACACUAUCGCAUGAUAGAGUAAGGAAAGGAGCAAUCUGCUGAUAGAUGGGCUUGCGUCUGAUUAGCUAGUUGGUGAGGUAACGGCUUACCAAGGCGACGAUCAGUAGCCGGACUGAGAGGUUGAACGGCCACAUUGGGACUGAGAUACGGCCCAGACUCCUACGGGAGGCAGCAGUCGGGAAUAUUGCGCAAUGGAGGAAACUCUGACGCAGUGACGCCGCGUAUAGGAAGAAGGUUUUCGGAUUGUAAACUAUUGUCGUUAGGGAAGAUAAAAGACAGUACCUAAGGAGGAAGCUCCGGCUAACUACGUGCCAGCAGCCGCGGUAAUACGUAGGGAGCGAGCGUUAUCCGGAAUUAUUGGGCGUAAAGGGUGCGUAGACGGGGAAUAUAAGUCGUUUGUAAAAAUGCUAGGCUCAACUUAGUAGGGCAAACGAUACUGUAGACCUAGAGUACAGCAGAGGCAAGUGGAACUUCAUGUGUAGCGGUAAAAUGCGUAAAUAUAUGGAAGAACACCAGUGGCGAAGGCGGCUUGCUGGGCUGAUACUGACGUUGAGGCACGAAAGCGUGGGGAGCAAACAGGAUUAGAUACCCUGGUAGUCCACGCCCUAAACGAUGAGUACUAAGUGUUGGUGAGAAUCAGUGCUGAAGUUAACGCAUUAAGUACUCCGCCUGAGUAGUACGUACGCAAGUAUGAAACUUAAAGGAAUUGACGGGAGCCCGCACAAGCGGUGGAGCAUGUUGUUUAAUUCGACGAUACGCGAAGAACCUUACCAGGUCUUGACAUCUGCUGCGAAGUUAUAGAGAUAUAAUGGAGGUUAACAGCAAGACAGGUGGUGCAUGGUUGUCGUCAGCUCGUGUCGUGAGAUGUUGGGUUAAGUCCCGCAACGAGCGCAACCCUUAUUUCUAGUUACCAUCAUUGAGUUGGGGACUCUAGAGAGACUGCCAUUGAUAAAAUGGAGGAAGGUGGGGAUGACGUCAAAUCAUCAUGCCCUUUAUGACCUGGGCUACAAACGUGCUACAAUGGCUGAAACAAAGAGAGGCGAAGCCGCGAGGUGGAGCAAAACUCAAAAAAGCAGUCUCAGUUCGGAUUGAAGUCUGCAACUCGACUUCAUGAAGAUGGAAUCGCUAGUAAUCGCGAAUCAGAAUGUCGCGGUGAAUACGUUCUCGGGCUUUGUACACACCGCCCGUCAAACCAUGAGAGUUUGUAAUACCCGAAGCCGGUGGCCUAACGAAAGAGGGAGCCGUCUAAGGUAGGACAGAUGAUUGGGGUUA
RNAcentral lists this ribosomal RNA (1432 nucleotides) under uncultured bacterium. RNAcentral's name for it is "bacterial SSU rRNA". It matches the Rfam family "Bacterial small subunit ribosomal RNA". The record is from RNAcentral.